CUGAAAAAUCACGAUCGUUUGCUUUCUGCUAGAUGGCAAAUUAAAGUGCUUCCCCACAAAAGCCAUGUACUUGAACGUAUAUCGGUUAUUUGGAACCCCACAUGCAAUGACCAGGUCCUUACGAGCCUUGUUCAGGACUGAGCUUUUCUCCGCCAAAGCAAUUGAAUCACAAGCCACUUUGAGGGAGAAGAAAUCGUCGGAGAUGGUGAAAUUUUUGACUACCCAACAAGGAAAAGUAAUCAAUAUUGGAGAAGUUGUGUUUGCUACUAUUUUUAAUACAAUUUCUAAUCUGUUAUUCUCCAAGGACAUGAUUGGUUUGGA
Molecule: unclassified non-coding RNA, 321 nt
Filed under: Hevea brasiliensis (rubber tree)
Lineage: Eukaryota; Viridiplantae; Streptophyta; Magnoliopsida; Malpighiales; Euphorbiaceae
Source: RNAcentral